This is a long non-coding RNA of Zea mays, 1195 nucleotides long. RefSeq lists it as uncharacterized. The transcript is spliced from 3 exons. The record is from RefSeq and is a predicted model, not a curated record. Lineage: Eukaryota; Viridiplantae; Streptophyta; Magnoliopsida; Poales; Poaceae.
GCAAGAAACGUCAGUUCAUGUUCAUCUGUAUUUUCAGGUCAGCUGCCUGCCACCCUACAAAGCCUUCCCAUUUUCAUCUUCUCCGUUUUCAUGCUUUAUGAGAAUGCGAAGCACCGGGAAAAGGACACGCUCUUCAGCAGAAUGACAAGCCAAGCGGGAUGGAAUUUGCCGUAAACAUAUCUUGUGAAGCACCACGAGGUCCACGACAUGAAUUUGAACUGAGCCAAACAUCUAAUUCCUGGACUUAGUCACGGGCUUACGACGCAUCAGAGAUGGACAUGCUUGCAAAAAAGAUUUAGUCAAAGUCGUGUUCGACAUAUCCACUCGACGUCAACCAACAAAAGAAACAUGAAGAGCAAAUAAAGGACAAACACAAGUAACAUGAGAAUACGAAGCAUCGGGAAAACGACAUGGUCUUCAGUAGAAUCGCAGGUAAACACUAAACAUUUUGAUUCUGAUACCUAUAAUUUUCUUAAAUAAAAUAGUCUGAAAUUGUUUUUAUUAUUAUCUAAAAAAGUAUCCACAAUGAAGCGAGAUAUGUAGAACCAGGUCUGUCUAGUUACUUAAACAUCCUUCUCUAACAAUAUCCUUAUUAUCUGCCUAGUUACUUAACCAUCCUUCUUUUUUACUACUCAGCUAUGUGAGAUGAAUUUUGCCGUAAAAAUAUCUUGUGAAGCAUCACUGCUAAAGGUUGUACCUCGAGAGAUCAUGUGGAAGUGAGGCUGUUUAGACUCUUGGGUCCUCGAUGGCUUAUGACAGAUCAACUCGAUCAAUGGCAGCAGCAGUAUGUUGUCGUGUUUGUUAUAUUUUAAUUAAGUUUGAUUUGUUUUAAAUUAUAUUAGAAUAAAAUAAAUCACUAUGUCUAUAGUUAAUAGUGGUGCAACAUAGUUUUUUCUUGUAUAAAAAGAUUGGCUAGGGAUUGACUCAAACAUAAGCUAAUGGAUAUAUUGUGAACCUGAUAUAAAGUUGAAAAAAGGUAGAAAGCUAUCUGCCCUAAAUUAUGUUAUUUUGAGUCAUGUCUAAGGUGUUGUUUGACACAGUUUCGUUCCACGUUUUGUAAUUCUAUUCUCCACCACCUCUACCUAUGUUAGGGAGUAUUUUAAACGGGUUUUAAAGUGUUAAGCUUACAGUCCAAAUCUAACUUUAAAAAAUUGAGAUUUUAGUGUAAAAUAGCCUCCACUACCCCGUUUGAAGA